CGGACGUUCAAACACCACCGAAGAAGAAGUCAUUCGGCAGAAUGGGGUGAUUUAAAUGUGGAGGUUUAACUGAGCUUUAUAUCGUAUUUCUGGCCUCUCUAAGAAUUUCAACACCAGGCUGUGGCUGUAGAAACUUUCCUUCCCCCCGGUGCUGCUGUCAUCUGUUGGCGGCUCGUUGUGUGAGUAACUUUGGGUAAUAACAAGCCCGACUUCUGCGGUUGUACACCAUAUUUGGCCGAAGAGGAAGCCGCGGCUGUAAACACUGACCCACGUUAUCUGCGGCACCUGAAACAGCAGGGUGCAGGAGCACCAGAGGAUGGUGGCCGAAAGGGACAAAGACAUAAGAAAGCUGGGGUCCAAGUCAGACAAAAGUAAAAGUGAGCCGAAGGUGCUGCGGCUUUAGGUGGGCAGAGUGCGGCAGGAUGAACUUUCCUGCUCUGUCAGCAGCGCUGAAAACAGCCGAACAACCACUGAGUCAAGUCUGGUGGUGCAGCUGCUCCUGCACAAAUUUCCCCCAAAUGCCAUGACACAGUGGCGGCUUUUCCCCGUCAACACGCCCACUGUGGUGAGCCCUCACCUGUUAAACAGGACCCCAGUGGCUAUCAUUGGUUGCAGGUGUGUGAGGCCAGUUUGCUGGACCAGCAGGGAGGAUCUCUUACUUCGACCUGUCCGGAGGUUUGUCCAACAAACACAGUGUGUGGAGGACAAUGACAAAGCUUUUUACUAACGCUUUGGCCAAAAACAUCAACUGGAGGGGAAGAAAUAACAAGCACAAAGUAGAGAACCUCACCAUCAAGAGAGUUAUCCUCAACGCAGUCAGGAAGAACUCGUUCUGUAAGGAUGCCGUGGACGAGGAGAUAGAGAGGUAUAUAAAGCGAUGGCUGCAGCUGGCAGGAAACCGAGAUGGAGGAAGAAAAAGAAGACAGGAAAAGGGAAAGGAAGCGACCAGCAUGGGGAACUACUGUGUAGAGUAGCACAAAAUGCAUCUGCAGCACAUGUUAUUUUAACUCUUACAUCUACAGCAUGAGAUGAAAAGAAAAAUACUAUCCCUCCAAUGAAUGCUCACAAGGCUGGAUUCAUCAUGUCGUGUUUACCUGUCAUGUGAUGCUACAUGUAAGUUAGGACCUAAUGGACACAACCAGAAACACAAACACAGUUACUUUUUAAAAUAUUAUUUAAAAAAUGCUUGCACUUUUACUGUUAUAGCCAUUGUAGUUUAUUCGAGUUCAUCAUGCAUUACACUACUAUGCAUUUUAAUCAUAUCUCAGCAUCAGUUUAUAAUGCCAUUUCCUAUAAUCAUAUUUAUUCAUUUUACUCUAAAGAUUAUUAAUUUCAUGCAGGUAGAUCUUGUAGUCAUCACUAUUAAAACAUUUAUUG
Molecule: long non-coding RNA, 1377 nt
Organism: Pundamilia nyererei
Lineage: Eukaryota; Metazoa; Chordata; Actinopteri; Cichliformes; Cichlidae
Exons: 4
Source: RefSeq, a predicted model, not a curated record